GUGGUCAAAAACUGCCACUGCUGCAAAUAAAAAGAGAAGUCACAAUAAAAGUUACUGAUGGGGAAAAAAAAAAGAAACGGAGCAUUUAUUUGCAGCGGGCCUCUUGUCUUUUUUUUUUUUGUUUUUCAUUUGUAACUUCCGUUGGGACUUUUUUUAUUUUUGCAUCCUUUUUUUAUUUGCAGUAGUGGCAGUUCUUGGCCAC
Non-coding RNA from Xyrichtys novacula (pearly razorfish), 202 nucleotides. The record is from the annotation of a GenBank genome assembly. NCBI's taxonomy places the organism in Eukaryota, Metazoa, Chordata, Actinopteri, Labriformes, Labridae.